This 29-nucleotide non-coding RNA is filed under the name Homo sapiens (human). The record is from RNAcentral. Lineage: Eukaryota; Metazoa; Chordata; Mammalia; Primates; Hominidae.
UCGGUUGUAUCUAAUCGGGAUGCAGAUGC